This is an RNA transcript of Ictalurus punctatus (channel catfish), 1112 nucleotides long. It is a transcript of the gene named phospholipid hydroperoxide glutathione peroxidase-like, with no coding region annotated. Lineage: Eukaryota; Metazoa; Chordata; Actinopteri; Siluriformes; Ictaluridae. The transcript is spliced from 8 exons. The record is from RefSeq and is a predicted model, not a curated record.
CAAAUGCAGAACAGUGAAAGACUUUCGAUUCUAUUUGCUACUUCUGUUUUUCAUAGGGAGGAGCUAUACCUGGUGCAAAAUGAGCAUCAGAGUAGACUAAUAACUUCCCAGUGCUGAAGUUCACUUACAGUGCACUCAUUGUCUGUGUUUCUUCCUGCAUCUGAUAUUAUCCUGAACUGACUGAUGGCUUUCAGAAAACAGAAAGAGGUGGAGGACUGGAAAACAGCCACGUCUAUUUAUGACUUCACUGUCACAGAUAUCGAUGGCAACGAAGUGUCUCUGGAAAAAUACAGAGGCAAGGUGGUUAUCAUCACCAACGUUGCCACCCAAUGAGCCAAAGCCCCAGUGAACUACUCUCAGUUUGCACAGAUGCACGCCAAGUACGCUGAGAGAGGUUUAUCCAUCCUGGCUUUCCCAUGCAAUCAGUUUGGCAACCAGGAACCUGGCACCCAUGCACAGAUCAAACACCAUGUCAAAUCCUACAAUGUGCAAUUUGAUUUAUUCAGUAAGAUCAAAGUAAACGGACAAGAAGCUCAUGACCUGUGGAAGUGGAUGAAGGCGCAACCCAAUGGCAAAGGAUUCCUAGGAAAUGGAAUCAAAUGGAAUUUCACCAAGUUCCUCAUUGACCGAAAAGGCCAGGUUGUGAAGAGAUACUCGCCAGUGAAAGAUCCAAUUACCAAUCUGAAGGCAGCAUCACAGAAGUUCUUUCUCGAGAAGCCACUUUUUCAGUGCAGCAAUAGAAGUAGAUGUACUGAAAUAUCUGUAAACCCUGCAUUUAAUUUCACCUUGAGCUAGAUAUCCUCUUAGACAGCCAUUUCCAUUUCCAUUCCCAAUCCUCUCCUGCAGCCUGCUGGGAGUUAGUGGCGUCAUCCCAUGGAUUCAUGACAGUUUGUUUUGAAAACCGCCCUGUGGAAAGGACAAACUUGAUGCAUUUGGCGUGCAACUCCUCAUGGGAAGAUCACCAGUGCACAGAUGGUUAACUGGAAAGGGACCCCAUUCCUUCUUUACCAUAAUACUGUCUCAAGAGACCAUUACAGUUGCAGUCAGAAAUUACUCAAUGUACUCAUUUUGAAACUCUUAUAAGUUCUGAAUAAAGUCUUAAUACCACUUUA